RNAcentral lists this long non-coding RNA (2122 nucleotides) under Triticum aestivum (bread wheat). RNAcentral's name for it is "long non-coding RNA (TAES_LNC007661)". Lineage: Eukaryota; Viridiplantae; Streptophyta; Magnoliopsida; Poales; Poaceae. The record is from RNAcentral.
GAUGCUCCCUGCAAAUAACAUAUCUCAAGAACCUAAUAAAAAUGAAACUGCGGUCCAUAGGGCAGGUUGUUCUUUCCAAGUGAAGCUUUCCAACACUCUCAGAUAAUUCAUGAAGCCAGGACACUAUUUUUACAAAUUAGAUAAGCAUCUAUUAAACAGAACGAAGCAGGCCAAAGCAAAACAUUAAUACGAAAAUCUCAAACGACCAUAUCCAUCACUUUGCCCAGAGAAAUAAUGGGAAGAUGGAUGAUUGGAGUUGGUGAAGCUCACCUUGGUGGGGAUAAAUGUGAUAGGAACCUAUGUGUUCACGGAGAGCUGACCAAUAGGGUUAGCUUGUGUCAUUAGCCAUGCUUGUCGCUGUUCAACGUGCGCUGCUUGUCAAGCCGAUUCCAUGGUGCAACGGAGGAGCCACAAGAUCCAACCGUAUGUACUUGGCAAGAAUGCUAAAAAGACAAAAAGACAACACAUUCAGCCAUGGGGAAAGUGGCAGCAACAAGGACGUGUACACAAGGAUACUGCAGAUUCCUCUUACCUUCCCAUGGCUGAAUCCUUUGUCUCGCCACUGAGGGCUGCAGGUACGAGCAUGCUUGACUGAUUUCUUGUAGUAACCAGGAUACAUAUUCCACCAAAUCACCCUUUAUGGUUUGCCUAUUGUUUUGAUAUGUUCUACAUCAUGAUCAAACAAUUAACAAUGCCUAAUAAGCAGAAUGCAAUCCUAAGAAUAUGCCUUAAAAAAUUAGACCAGGUACAAAAAACUACAAAUAGCACAUGCACAAUCUUUUUAUGUAUAUUAGAAAAAUGUUCAUGUCAUAUAUCUGCAUGGUGAAAUAUUAAGCAAUUGUUAACUCAAAAUUAGCAUCGUAAAGUAUAUGCAGUUAUGGGGAGGUGUUGAAUACCUUAGAUGCAUUGAGAAUUACAUCAAUCAAACUUUUGGCACAUAAAUCUAGUGGUUGGAGGUGCAUUUAGCCAUGCUUCUCAUCAAGAUCUGAUCACUUGAAUCCGAAGCAAGAUGAGCACUUUGUAUAGUUAAUCAAAAAGCUGAAUACGCAAAAUGUAUCGAGAAUUAAUUGGUGUACUGCAUAAAUCAAACUUUUGACCCAAAAAAUAAAACCAUAUAACUUUGUAUUAAUCUUCAGUUUCUAAAAAAUGAACACACUCCAUGUAUGCAUUACUCUACCAAGGAUGCACAUACAAUCUGCAUUUCGGCAGCAUGUUGGGAACUAAAAAGUGACGAAUUGGAGAUGUAUGAAACAAAAAUAUGGCAAAUACCACGGGAAACAAUUGAUAUAUUCCUCACAUCUCUGAUCAAGCCAUUGUAGCCAAAAAAACAUGCAGGUCGGAAACACAAAAAAUAGAUCUUGCAUGUUUGUCAACAAACGCCUAUCAAAAUUCCAAGAUCACAUAUAUGACAUAUCUACCAGACCCUGAAUCAAAGUAAAUUUCCUUCCUUAUUACAUUAGCUAUUACCCAAUGGUGCAGUGGACAGUUAUGAACCACAAGCACAUUGCAUACCAAACAAGUAAGCCAAACCGUGGACAAUAAGCGCAUAAAUCCAUUUUUACAUAAUAAACGUUACAUCUUAUCAUUUUCUAUUUGCAAACAAAUAUGUUGUUAUUAGUUAGUCAGUUUGUACUUGUCUAAAAAUUAACGAAACAUGUUAAUAUGCAGCAGAAAAUGAUAUUUUUUAACAAGGCCUCCUGGAAACGUGUGCUAUAUAACCUUUGUGUCUGCGUGGAGCAUACCUCAGUUCAGUCCUACAGCCCUUUGAUGUAGUCUACAACAAUAUCCAGCAUAUCUGAAGUAUUUGUUUGCUGCGUCUUCAAGAAGAAACUUAACAUGUUUCCAGCAAUUGUAUUGAACGACUUCUCCGAGAGAAUAGCUGCGCAAAUGCUAUUAUGAAAUCUGAAGUAACUAAGGUCCGAGUCAUCAACAACUACCAAGGUUCUGAAUUUCCAUGGGCAACACUUCCAGUUUGGAUUAGAAUCAUCAGUUUUAGUACGUUAGAAUUUAGUUUUGUAUCGCUGAAAGUCAUCAGUUUUGGUACUUUAGAGGGUACAAGCUUCUGUAACUCAUGGUGAAAAAUUCAUCUCUAUAUAUUGACAUGAUUGAUAAAAAGGGCAAC